This 240-nucleotide ribosomal RNA is filed under the name uncultured Flavobacteriaceae bacterium. RNAcentral's name for it is "partial 16S ribosomal RNA". It matches the Rfam family "Bacterial small subunit ribosomal RNA", at positions 1 to 247 of the family's 1533-position model. Lineage: Bacteria; Pseudomonadati; Bacteroidota; Flavobacteriia; Flavobacteriales; Flavobacteriaceae. The record is from RNAcentral.
CUCGGAGUUUGAUCCUGGCUCAGGAUGAACGCUAGCGGCAGGCUUAACACAUGCAAGUCGAGGGGUAUAGUUCUUCGGAACUAGAGACCGGCGCACGGGUGCGUAACGCGUAUGCAAUCUACCUUUUACAGAGGGAUAGCCCAGAGAAAUUUGGAUUAAUACCUCAUAGUAUGCAGAGUUGGCAUCAACACUGCAUUAAAGUCACAACGGUGAAACGAUGAGCAUGCGUCCCAUUAGCUU